This 425-nucleotide ribosomal RNA is filed under the name uncultured bacterium. RNAcentral describes it as "partial 16S ribosomal RNA". It matches the Rfam family "Bacterial small subunit ribosomal RNA", at positions 354 to 796 of the family's 1533-position model. The record is from RNAcentral.
GUGGGGAAUCUUGUGCAAUGGGCGAAAGCCUGACGCAGCCAUGCCGCGUGGAUGAUGAAGGUCUUAGGAUUGUAAAAUCCUUUCACCGGUGAAGAUAAUGACUGUAGCCGGAGAAGAAGCCCCGGCUAACUUCGUGCCAGCAGCCGCGGUAAUACGAAGGGGGCUAGCGUUGCCCGGAUUUACUGGGCGUAAAGGGAGCGUAGGCGGACAUUUAAGUCAGGGGUGAACUCCCGGGUGUCAACCGCGGAACUGCCUUUGAUACUGGGUGUCUUGAGUAUGAGAGAGGUGUGUGGAACUCCGAGUGUAGAGGUGAAAUUCGUAGAUAUUCGGAAGAACACCAGUGGCGAAGGCGACACACUGGCUCAUUACUGACGCUGAGGCGCGAAAGCGUGGGGAGCAAACAGGAUUAGAAACCCUAGUAGUCC